Molecule: long non-coding RNA, 1551 nt
Organism: Danio aesculapii
Lineage: Eukaryota; Metazoa; Chordata; Actinopteri; Cypriniformes; Danionidae
Exons: 6
Source: RefSeq, a predicted model, not a curated record
AUCAGCUGUGGUCCGCCGUCGGCGAGCGGCUCAUGACCAGACCAGUCGCUUUUUUCCACGAUCGCCGGGACGUUUACAACAUUUUAAAGCAGUUUCAGCUCAAAAUGGACCCACUACCAGUUUGUGAGCUGAUAUGCAGUGGAAAUUGACAUCCAGAAGGAAGUCAUAAAGGAAACACCAGCUGAUACAAGUGCUGCAGAGGAUCUUUGCAGAAUUCACUCUAAUAUUAGGAAGAGAUUUAAGAUCCGAGUUCAACGCUGCAUUGGACACACUGCUCGUUUGAUUGAAAUUUUCAAAAAGAGGAGGAAAUUGCAGAAGAAAACUAGAUGAGAUUUUGCAACAAGUUUAUUCAAAGUCAUCUGAUGUAAUGCUUGUCCGUACAGCAGUUCUUCCGGGUCUUUCAGUACUUUUGAGGGAUGGGUCUAAAGAUUUUUUCUGGAUGUGUUUUGAUGUGGAUGUAGAUUCUGACUUCAGUGCAGUAGAUGUUGGCCUGCUGAUUGUCUUGUGUGAAGAUAUCUAAAGGACCUCAAUGUGGAUGCAAUGUGGGCCAUUAUACUGGAAGCAAAAGUGGUUAUGGAUGAUGUCCCUACUUUGCCACACGCAGUAUGUCUGCUUUUUUGUUUUGAUUUACGCACUGAAUUCGGACUACCCAAAGACUACAAGCAACGUAUUUACUCAACGUGUGUUGCUUUCGCUGGGAGGGAAGCUUAAUGUGUUUUGUUUUGUUUUUUUCUGCGAGUGCCUAUAUGCUGUUUAAUGUUUAAUGUUUAAAGGUUCUGUUAAAGGAUUUUCAAACAUUUUAAAAAACAUUGUUUUGUUUGUUUGCUUUUGCCAUGUUGCUGUUUGCAGUGUUACAUUCAGAAUUGCAGCAUUUUGGUGUUUAAAACACAUUUUUUUACCUAAAAAAUGUAUUGUGAUUCAUAGGGUUGUCAAAAGUAUUGAGUUUGGUACCAAUCAGUACUGAAAUUUUAAAGUUGCGAUUUCCAGCUAACAUUGCAAGAACUGAUUGGCCAUUGUGUUCACAUGCUCAACAGAUAUGACUGAUUGGCUAUGAAGUUCAUCGUUUUUACCAUUCUUCACCUCUGUUCACCAGGUGCAAAGAUACAAAGACACUGGAUUAUUUCAAAGCACUGUCGAUCAGUCGAUCCAUCAGCAGAUAGCUCAUAUGUCAGCUUAUAGACAGAUCAGCUGAUCGACAUGGCUUUGAAAUGGUUCAGUGUCUGUGUAACUUUGUUUGGACUGUGCAUGUGAACACAGUGGCCAAUCAGCUGUGUUUAAGAACAAGCUCAGUAGCGCUCAAAUAUUGGUGGUAAAUGGAUGUUUUUAAUAUUUCAGUAGUGAUUUAUACCAAAAUUCAGUACUGGUACCAAACUCAAUUCUUUUGACAACACUAAUGUGAUAUUUUCUGUAGGAAAAUCUAAACUUUACAGUCUAAAAAAAUCAGCUUUAAAGCUAAACAUCUGUUCCUCUGUGAGUGUCUACAUGCUGCCAUGUUUAAAGGUGCUGGGGCAAUGGCAUGUUUCAUUACACUAAUUUAAGUAUCUUUUUUUC